RNAcentral lists this ribosomal RNA (494 nucleotides) under uncultured bacterium. RNAcentral's name for it is "partial 16S ribosomal RNA". It matches the Rfam family "Bacterial small subunit ribosomal RNA", at positions 28 to 507 of the family's 1533-position model. The record is from RNAcentral.
GACGAACGCUGGCGGCGUGCUUAACACAUGCAAGUCGAACGGAAAGGCCUGCUUUCCCUUGUGGAUUGCGGGUACUCGAGUGGCGAACGGGUGAGUAACACGUGAGUGAUCUGCCCCCAACUUGGGUAUAAGCCUGGGAAACUGGGUCUAAUUCCCGAUAGGACUGCAGGGUGGUGGCUGUGGUGGAAAACGGUUUUCUAGUGGUUGGGGAUGAGCUCGCGGCCUAGCAGCUUGUUGGUGGGGUAAUGGCCUACCAAGGCGGCGACGGGUAGCCGGCCUGAGAGGGUCGACGGCCGAAGUGGGACUGGGAUACGGCCCAGACUCCUACGGGAGGCAGCAGUGGGGAAUAUUGCACCAUGGGCGGAAGCCUGAUGCAGCGACGCCGCGUGGGGGAUGUCGGCCUUCGGGUUGUAAACUCCUUUCGACCGCGAGGAAGCCACCUGGUUGGAAGGGUGGUGACGGUAGUGGUAGAAGAAGCACCGGCUAACUACGUG